Molecule: ribosomal RNA, 128 nt
Filed under: Aspergillus terreus
Lineage: Eukaryota; Fungi; Ascomycota; Eurotiomycetes; Eurotiales; Aspergillaceae
Description: partial 5.8S ribosomal RNA
Rfam family: 5.8S ribosomal RNA
About the family: 5.8S ribosomal RNA (5.8S rRNA) is a component of the large subunit of the eukaryotic ribosome.
Source: RNAcentral
UGCAUCGAUGAAAGAACGCAGCGAAAUGCGAUAACUAAUGUGAAUUGCAGAAUUCAGUGAAUCAUCGAGUCUUUGAACGCACAUUGCGCCCCCUGGUAUUCCGGGGGGCAUGCCUGUCCGAGCGUCAU